Molecule: long non-coding RNA, 364 nt
Filed under: Mytilus galloprovincialis (Mediterranean mussel)
Lineage: Eukaryota; Metazoa; Mollusca; Bivalvia; Mytilida; Mytilidae
Source: RNAcentral
UUUUUUAGUAAUAUCACUUUAUAACAUCAUAUGCAAGCGGGCGCAUCAUCUGUGUCCCAUGGACACAUUUCCCCAUUUAUUUACCAUUGUUUGUAUUUUGGCCGUUUUUCGUUUUUUUCACAAGACAUUGUCAGUAUGUUUUCGGCUUAUAAGUUUCAAUUUCCCGUUGCGCGGUAUAUUUCGCCUCCAAUAUUGUGAAGCAGCAAAAUUGUGGUCGAAUAUGUGAACAUUGAAUGUAUCUCGUCAUUCGGAGAAUCUAUUUUAAUGAUAGAUCUUUUAUCGUUUCUGUUCAAUAAGUUUAUAAACAUAUGUCCUUAACCAUUGUGUUUUUAAUCAUUCCAGAAAUACGUUAUAAAUACUUAAG